GCACGGCAUUUCCUCCGGGAGCAAGGUUGUAAACUCUCACCCAGAAGGCUUCUGAAUUGGUGUUACUGUAAAUUCGCCUUGUUGUGUCCAGGGAUACAAGGCAAUCCAGUUGAUCAGUAUGUGUCAUCCGCGACAGAAUAAAUACGACCAGCCAUGGGAAAACCUGUCUGAUUUAGAACAGAUGACAUCGCUUUCAGUUCCGGCACCCAGAAGAAUAUCACUUGCGUUUCUGGCGCUCAGAAGAAUAACACUUCCAGCAUCUACUCUGACAUCUGAAGAACAUCACUUCUGGUUCCCUUAUGUCACUUCCUGUCCAAUCCCUUAAAAACGCCAUCUUGACAAACCAUCGACAGUUCUGUUUUGGAUGCGGUAAUUGAGAAUAUCUCUGUACUACUGCAAGAAUCUUUUGCAGCCAUGAAUAAUAUAUGGGUGGCUGCCCCAGACCUU
Molecule: long non-coding RNA, 447 nt
Organism: Polypterus senegalus (gray bichir)
Lineage: Eukaryota; Metazoa; Chordata; Cladistia; Polypteriformes; Polypteridae
Exons: 2
Source: RefSeq, a predicted model, not a curated record